RNAcentral lists this ribosomal RNA (1372 nucleotides) under uncultured bacterium. RNAcentral's name for it is "bacterial SSU rRNA". It matches the Rfam family "Bacterial small subunit ribosomal RNA", at positions 28 to 1381 of the family's 1533-position model. The record is from RNAcentral.
GAUGAACGCUGGCGGCGUGCCUAAUACAUGCAAGUCGAGCGAACGGACGAGAAGCUUGCUUCUCUGAUGUUAGCGGCGGACGGGUGAGUAACACGUGGAUAACCUACCUAUAAGACUGGGAUAACUUCGGGAAACCGGAGCUAAUACCGGAUAAUAUUUUGAACCGCAUGGUUCAAAAGUAAAAGACGGUCUUGCUGUCACUUAUAGAUGGAUCCGCGCUGCAUUAGCUAGUUGGUAAGGUAACGGCUUACCAAGGCAACGAUGCAUAGCCGACCUGAGAGGGUGAUCGGCCACACUGGAACUGAGACACGGUCCAGACUCCUACGGGAGGCAGCAGUAGGGAAUCUUCCGCAAUGGGCGAAAGCCUGACGGAGCAACGCCGCGUGAGUGAUGAAGGUCUUCGGAUCGUAAAACUCUGUUAUUAGGGAAGAACAUAUGUGUAAGUAACUGUGCACAUCUUGACGGUACCUAAUCAGAAAGCCACGGCUAACUACGUGCCAGCAGCCGCGGUAAUACGUAGGUGGCAAGCGUUAUCCGGAAUUAUUGGGCGUAAAGCGCGCGUAGGCGGUUUUUUAAGUCUGAUGUGAAAGCCCACGGCUCAACCGUGGAGGGUCAUUGGAAACUGGAAAACUUGAGUGCAGAAGAGGAAAGUGGAAUUCCAUGUGUAGCGGUGAAAUGCGCAGAGAUAUGGAGGAACACCAGUGGCGAAGGCGACUUUCUGGUCUGUAACUGACGCUGAUGUGCGAAAGCGUGGGGAUCAAACAGGAUUAGAUACCCUGGUAGUCCACGCCGUAAACGAUGAGUGCUAAGUGUUAGGGGGUUUCCGCCCCUUAGUGCUGCAGCUAACGCAUUAAGCACUCCGCCUGGGGAGUACGACCGCAAGGUUGAAACUCAAAGGAAUUGACGGGGACCCGCACAAGCGGUGGAGCAUGUGGUUUAAUUCGAAGCAACGCGAAGAACCUUACCAAAUCUUGACAUCCUUUGACAACUCUAGAGAUAGAGCCUUCCCCUUCGGGGGACAAAGUGACAGGUGGUGCAUGGUUGUCGUCAGCUCGUGUCGUGAGAUGUUGGGCUAAGUCCCGCAACGAGCGCAACCCUUAAGCUUAGUUGCCAUCAUUAAGUUGGGCACUCUAAGUUGACUGCCGGUGACAAACCGGAGGAAGGUGGGGAUGACGUCAAAUCAUCAUGCCCCUUAUGAUUUGGGCUACACACGUGCUACAAUGGACAAUACAAAGGGCAGCGAAACCGCGAGGUCAAGCAAAUCCCAUAAAGUUGUUCUCAGUUCGGAUUGUAGUCUGCAACUCGACUACACGAAGCUGGAAUCGCUAGUAAUCGUAGAUCAGCAUGCUACGGUGAAUACGUUCCCGGGUCU